Molecule: long non-coding RNA, 1252 nt
Organism: Neofelis nebulosa (Clouded leopard)
Lineage: Eukaryota; Metazoa; Chordata; Mammalia; Carnivora; Felidae
Exons: 3
Source: RefSeq, a predicted model, not a curated record
UAUCUGCAUUUCCCCGGGGCAGGUGCCUAGGGGCUCAGCCACUGUGCGUCUUCUGAAUGCCCUAAGGAUGUCCCCCAAUUAGGUUCCCAUCCUAGACUGCGGUAGGUGCCUCAUCGACCAGCCAGGCAAGAGAUCUUCUGUGAUUGCCAGCCACGUUUUGUCGGGAAUUACGCCGCAUCUUUCCUGUGGCCCACGCAGGAGAAAAAUGAAUGCUCAGGUGAAAUGGAAACCCCCCGAGGGGCCAAUGGAGGAAACACAGGAGCAGAUUCAAACUUCUGAACGUUCCACCUGCUGCCGAUGAUGUCCCGGGCGGAAGUGUGCCAUCCGUCAGGAGCUGCCCGGGGUCCAGGCCCUGCAACCCCAGCUCCACCCUGACCAGCUAGCCCUGCACGGUUUGCCGGGGGCGGGGAGACUGCCUUUUCUGCCUUCUGGUGGCCCUUUUGCAGCUGUUUCCUGGGCUCUGUCUCCUCGUGGAACGAAGUAACGCCUGAAGCAGCCCGUGUCCGGGGCGUGGCCCCUCUUAUGCCCUGGCCGCCAAAGGACAGGAGAGUCUCACUAAGCCUCACGCUGGCUCGUCAUCUGUUCUGCAAGUGAGGACAACGGGGCACCAGAGAGGCUGACGUGAUUCACCACGUGUGCGCUUACGGCCACCACAUCCAGGAGCUGCAUCUCUCCCCCGGGGCCCACGCUGCCCCCGCCCCAGCUCCCGUCCAUCAGUACCACAUUUCGCUUUGCACAUUUCCUGGGGGAAGAAUCCUAAUCUGGCUUUGGAAGUACUAUUAAUACCGACUUUACACUUUUCUUUGUCCAUUUGGAGCCAUUUGUUUUUUCUUUUCCGGGUCUCAAACAAUUCUGCAGACCUGUGAUGAGCCGGCUGGCCCGGCCGCACCCACACCCGCUGCCCCCCGCGCCCACAGCCUUAUCGUCACUCCUGCAGGCCAGCUGACUCCGGGUUGGCUCUGCACAGCAGAACUUCCUGGCGUCUGUCCCUGCCCUCGGGAACAUUCUGCCCUUCCUGGGAACAUGCCUUUGAGCUUGCCGAAGUCUGGUUUCCCUCCUACGCAUCCUGAGAGCUGCUUGCAAGAGACGAUGGACCAGCUUCACCUGCCCCCUCACUCCCUGGGCCUCAGCGCCUUCCCUGCACCCAGGUCGCCCGCGAGCAUCGAUUUCACACAGAUGAACAGCUCCUUCCCAUGGGAGUUCAAGAUAACUCCUGCCGCUCAGUCAUCUUUAAAAUUGUUCCUUAACUGUC